RNAcentral lists this ribosomal RNA (486 nucleotides) under Guibemantis cf. liber RML-2007. RNAcentral describes it as "partial 12S ribosomal RNA". The stretch from base 1 to 423 matches the Rfam family "Bacterial small subunit ribosomal RNA", at positions 912 to 1533 of the family's 1533-position model. The record is from RNAcentral. Lineage: Eukaryota; Metazoa; Chordata; Amphibia; Anura; Mantellidae.
GUCGGUGUCCCACCCACCUAGAGGAGCCUGUUCUAUAAUCGAUAAUCCUCGAUAUACCUCACCAUUUCUUGCUACUCAAACUGUAUACCUCCGUCGUAAGCUUACCGUUUGAAUGCUAAAAAGUAAGUUUAAUGAUUAUUCAUCAACACGUCAGGUCAAGGUGCAACCAAUGAAACGGAAAGCAAUGGGCUACAAUCUCUAUAAUAGAACACACGAAACACUACACGAAAAAUAGUCAUGAAGGCGGAUUUAGUAGUAAAAGAAGAAUAGCGUGCUUCUUUAAACAAGGCGCUGGGACGUGUACAAACCGCCCGUCACCCUCUUCAAUAGCAUAACCUAAUUUAUAACUCUCAAAAGCACUUUAGAAGAGGCAAGUCGUAACAUGGUAAGUGUACUGGAAGGUGCACUUGGCAAAUCAAAAUGUAGCUUAAAUAAAGCAUCUCGCUUACACCGAAAUAAUGUCUGUUUAACCCAGAUCAUUUUGAA